Molecule: ribosomal RNA, 1348 nt
Filed under: Mycobacterium sp. DWMJ-1749A3
Lineage: Bacteria; Bacillati; Actinomycetota; Actinomycetes; Mycobacteriales; Mycobacteriaceae
Description: bacterial SSU rRNA
Rfam family: Bacterial small subunit ribosomal RNA
Source: RNAcentral
UCGGGGUGCACGAGUGGCGAACGGGUGAGUAACACGUGGGUAAUCUGCCCUGCACAUCGGGAUAAGCCUGGGAAACUGGGUCUAAUACCGAAUAGGACCACAGAACACAUGUCCUGUGGUGGAAAGCUUUUGCGGUGUGGGAUGGGCCCGCGGCCUAUCAGCUUGUUGGUGGGGUGAUGGCCUACCAAGGCGACGACGGGUAGCCGGCCUGAGAGGGUGUCCGGCCACACUGGGACUGAGAUACGGCCCAGACUCCUACGGGAGGCAGCAGUGGGGAAUAUUGCACAAUGGGCGAAAGCCUGAUGCAGCGACGCCGCGUGGGGGAUGACGGCCUUCGGGUUGUAAACCUCUUUCACCAUCGACGAAGGUCCGGGUUUUCUCGGGCUGACGGUAGGUGGAGAAGAAGCACCGGCCAACUACGUGCCAGCAGCCGCGGUAAUACGUAGGGUGCGAGCGUUGUCCGGAAUUACUGGGCGUAAAGAGCUCGUAGGUGGUUUGUCGCGUUGUUCGUGAAAUCUCACGGCUUAACUGUGAGCGUGCGGGCGAUACGGGCAGACUUGAGUACUGCAGGGGAGACUGGAAUUCCUGGUGUAGCGGUGGAAUGCGCAGAUAUCAGGAGGAACACCGGUGGCGAAGGCGGGUCUCUGGGCAGUAACUGACGCUGAGGAGCGAAAGCGUGGGGAGCGAACAGGAUUAGAUACCCUGGUAGUCCACGCCGUAAACGGUGGGUACUAGGUGUGGGUUUCCUUCCUUGGGAUCCGUGCCGUAGCUAACGCAUUAAGUACCCCGCCUGGGGAGUACGGCCGCAAGGCUAAAACUCAAAGAAAUUGACGGGGGCCCGCACAAGCGGCGGAGCAUGUGGAUUAAUUCGAUGCAACGCGAAGAACCUUACCUGGGUUUGACAUGCACAGGACGCCGGCAGAGAUGUCGGUUCCCUUGUGGCCUGUGUGCAGGUGGUGCAUGGCUGUCGUCAGCUCGUGUCGUGAGAUGUUGGGUUAAGUCCCGCAACGAGCGCAACCCUUGUCUCAUGUUGCCAGCGGGUAAUGCCGGGGACUCGUGAGAGACUGCCGGGGUCAACUCGGAGGAAGGUGGGGAUGACGUCAAGUCAUCAUGCCCCUUAUGUCCAGGGCUUCACACAUGCUACAAUGGCCGGUACAAAGGGCUGCGAUGCCGCGAGGUUAAGCGAAUCCUUUUAAAGCCGGUCUCAGUUCGGAUCGGGGUCGGCAACUCGACCCCGUGAAGUCGGAGUCGCUAGUAAUCGCAGAUCAGCAACGCUGCGGUGAAUACGUUCCCGGGCCUUGUACACACCGCCCGUCACGUCAGUUGAAAGUCGGUAACACCCGAAGCC